Molecule: RNA transcript, 2066 nt
Organism: Motacilla alba alba
Lineage: Eukaryota; Metazoa; Chordata; Aves; Passeriformes; Motacillidae
Exons: 9
Source: RefSeq, a predicted model, not a curated record
GGGGCCGCCGGGAGUUGUAGUCCCAGGCCGCAGCCGGGUUAUGGCAACGGCAGGCAAGCCCGGUCCGGGCGGUGUCCCCGCGGUGCCGGUCGCCAGCGGCCACAGCAUCCCGGUGCUGGGGCUCGGUACUUCCCACCGGGGUGGCUAUUCCCAUGCCGCAGUGGUCCAUGCCCUGCAGAAAUGUGGCAUUCGUCACAUUGACACAGCAAAGAGAUAUGGCUGUGAGCCCCUCCUCCAAAGGGCCAUCAGAGAGAGUGGUGUGAAGAGAGAGGACCUCUGGAUAACUACCAAGCUGUGGCACAGUGAUUAUGGCUAUGAAAACACAAAAAAGGCCUGCUUGGAGUCAUGUGAAAGACUCGGUGUUGAAUAUCUUGAUCUUUAUUUGAUUCACUGGCCUGAUGCACAAGUUCCAGGUAAAAGCAAUCGAGAGGUCCGAGCUGAAACCUGGAGUGCGAUGGAAGAGCUCUAUGAGAAAGGUUUGUGUAAAUCAAUUGGCGUAAGCAAUUUUCUUAUCAGCCAUCUUGAGCAACUAAAGGAGGACUGUGUGAUUACUCCACAUGUUAAUCAGGUUGAAUACCACCCUUUCCAAAGACCUCAGGAGCUGGUUGAUUACUGUAGGAGCAGAGAUAUUGUUUUUGAAGGCUACUGUCCUUUAGCCAAAGGUGAAGCACUCACCCAUCCUACUGUCAUUCAGCUGGCAAAGAAGUAUGGCAGAACUCCAGCACAGAUUUGCAUACGCUGGAGCAUACAGAAUGGGAUUGUCACUAUUCCAAAGUCAACAAAGGCAGAACGGAUAGAGGAAAACUGCAAGGUGUUUGAUUUUACAAUAGCAGAAGAUGAUGUUGAAAUUCUGAAUGGAAUGCAUGAUGGGAGACAUGUUUCCUGGGAUCCAAGCUUUAUUGUGUGAAAUCAAGGGUUUUGAUUCUAAUCUGAAGAAAGAAGAUAUGGAAUUUUUGAACACUGUGAAUAUCAACAGAAAAUUAAUUCAUCUAACCUAUUCCCCGUGGAAAAAAUAAUUUAAAACCAGUCUGUUCUAAACUGGAAAAAUUAUGCAACUGAAACACUGGUUAAUUUAAAACUGAACAAUAAAUCUGAAUUGUUCUCUUAGAUUUUGAAAAGUAUCAAUUACUGGAAGGCACGUAAGAUCAUGCUACAAUGCAUAUAGAUCUCGACAAAUUAUUCAACAAAUGGAAUAUUUGUUCAGGGAUUGCAGCAGAAUAAUGAAUCCAACUUUUUUAUUUCUUCUUGUCAUGAGAAUUUUGGGGGAUUCUGCAGGCCAUUCUUGGUGUUUUCUUGAUGACCAAACCUGCACUCUGGUACUGUUUCACAGAUCUCCUGUCAUGACCCAGCACUUCAGAGUGGAAUGGCUCCCUUUGUGACCCAAGUUGCAUCAGGAUGAAUAAAAAUAGUUUUGGCUUAUAUGGACAAAGACUUUUGAAAAGUGCAGAAGAAUGACAUGUUGGAGAAAAAUGCUUUGCUAAUCUCUCUUGCAGGAAUUGUCACUAUCUUUUUAAGAUGGAUAGUGUUCAGACAUUUCUCUGAUGCAAUUGUGAGUUGUCCAGCUGCACUGGGAGAGUUCCGUCUGGUGGUGUCAGAGGCCACCAGUCUUUUGAUAUGCAGGCAUUGGGUGCACCCCAGCUUACAGCUUUUCUGACAAGAUCAAAGCAUUUUCCUGCAAGGAAAUUGCUCUGUGACUAGCCAGGUUUCUGCAAUCCCUACCACACUAAGCUCUCACUGGAAAUUCCAGAAGAACUUCGGCUGUCACACACAGUCAGUAUUAUUUUGUUGUUGUUCAUGACAUUCCCUAAAAUGUGAGUUUCUGCUCAUCCUGAAAACAACCUAAGAGCAAAUACGUACUCAGGAUCCCUGUGAAAAAUGUGUCUGCCUCUUUAUGCUAGUAGGCAUGGUGCAGAACUUUUUUUUUUAACCAGUUUAGCCAGGAGAGGCAGCUGUUGUGUGUCAGUUUGGUGUCCUGACGUGCACAGCCUUCCUGCUGGCAUUUGACAGAGACCUGCAUUCUGGUUAUUUAUGAAAUGCAUGAAUAACACUGUGUUGUUCUUUCUCCU